Molecule: ribosomal RNA, 253 nt
Filed under: uncultured bacterium
Lineage: Bacteria
Description: partial 16S ribosomal RNA
Rfam family: Bacterial small subunit ribosomal RNA
Source: RNAcentral
UACGUAGGGUGCGAGCGUUAAUCGGAAUUACUGGGCGUAAAGCGUGCGCAGGCGGUUGUGCAAGACAGAUGUGAAAUCCCCGGGCUUAACCUGGGAACUGCAUUUGUGACUGUGCGACUGGAGUGCGGCAGAGGGGGAUAGAAUUCCGCGUGUAGCAGUGAAAUGCGUAGAUAUGCGGAGGAACACCGAUGGCGAAGGCAGUCCCCUGGGCCUGCACUGACGCUCAUGCACGAAAGCGUGGGGAGCAAACAGG